Molecule: ribosomal RNA, 545 nt
Filed under: uncultured archaeon
Lineage: Archaea
Description: bacterial SSU rRNA
Rfam family: Bacterial small subunit ribosomal RNA
Source: RNAcentral
CAGCCGCCGCGGUAAUACGUAGGGAGCGAGCGUUGUCCGGAUUUACUGGGUGUAAAGGGUGCGUAGGCGGGACUGCAAGUCAGGCGUGAAAUACCGGGGCUUAACUCCGGGGCUGCGCUUGAAACUGCGGUUCUUGAGUGAAGUAGAGGCAGGCGGAAUUCCUAGUGUAGCGGUGAAAUGCGUAGAUAUUAGGAGGAACACCAGUGGCGAAGGCGGCCUGCUGGGCUUUAACUGACGCUGAGGCACGAAAGCAUGGGGAGCAAACAGGAUUAGAUACCCUGGUAGUCCAUGCCGUAAACGAUGAUUGCUAGGUGUGGGGGGACUGACCCCUUCCGUGCCGGAGUUAACACAAUAAGCAAUCCACCUGGGGAGUACGACCGCAAGGUUGAAACUCAAAGGAAUUGACGGGGGCCCGCACAAGCAGUGGAGUAUGUGGUUUAAUUCGAAGCAACGCGAAGAACCUUACCAGGUCUUGACAUCCAACUAACGAAGCAGAGAUGCAUCAGGUGCCCUUCGGGGAAAGUUGAGACAGGUGGUGCAUGGCC